AUUUAUAUAGUAUAAUUAAUUAUAUUUGACUUCCAAUCAGAAGAUCUAUUUAUUAGUAUAAAUA
Molecule: transfer RNA, 64 nt
Filed under: Coleoptera sp. 6 KM-2017
Lineage: Eukaryota; Metazoa; Arthropoda; Insecta; Coleoptera
Description: tRNA-Gly
Source: RNAcentral